This 307-nucleotide long non-coding RNA is filed under the name Homo sapiens (human). RNAcentral describes it as "HSALNT0275180". Lineage: Eukaryota; Metazoa; Chordata; Mammalia; Primates; Hominidae. The record is from RNAcentral.
CUGUGCACACCAACCAGUGUAGGAGACCUCAUGGCUCCCGGGUAAAGAAGAAGAGGUACCCACAAGAAGAUGACUUCCAUCAUACAGUCUUCAGCAACCUUGAAAGAUUGGACAAGCUUCAGCCCACUCUUGAAGCCUCUGAGGAGUCUCUAGUUCACAAGGACAGAGGAGAUGGAGAGAGGCCAGUCAACGCGAGGGUAAGGUUGCCUUGCUUUCUCUGAAAUAGAAAUGUUCCUUUCUUGGUGUCUUUCUUUUUCAACUGACUUUACAUGUGAAAAAAUGACAAUGUCCAUGACAGGUAUUAAAU